RNAcentral lists this ribosomal RNA (491 nucleotides) under uncultured bacterium. RNAcentral describes it as "bacterial SSU rRNA". It matches the Rfam family "Bacterial small subunit ribosomal RNA", at positions 29 to 509 of the family's 1533-position model. The record is from RNAcentral.
AGUGAACGCUGGCGGCAGGCCUAAUACAUGCAAGUCGAACGGCAGCACAGCAGAGCUUGCUCUGUGGGUGGCGAGUGGCGGACGGGUGAGGAAUACAUGGGAAUCUGCCCAGUCGUGGGGGAUAACGUAUGGAAACGUACGCUAAUACCGCAUGCGCCCUAAGGGGGAAAGCCGGGGACCGCAAGGCCUGGCGCGAUUGGAUGAGCCCAUGUUCGAUUAGCUAGUUGGCGGGGUAAAGGCCCACCAAGGCGACGAUCGAUAGCUGGUCUGAGAGGAUGAUCAGCCACACUGGAACUGAGACACGGUCCAGACUCCUACGGGAGGCAGCAGUAGGGAAUAUUGGACAAUGGGGGCAACCCUGAUCCAGCCAUGCCGCGUGAGUGAAGAAGGCCUCGGGUUGUAAAGCUCUUUUGUCCGGAAAGAAAAGCAAUCGGUUAAUACCCGGUUGUUCUGACGGUACCGGAAGAAUAAGCACCGGCUAACUUCGUGCC